GGUUAAGCGACUAAGCGUACACGGUGGAUGCCCUGGCAGUCAGAGGCGAUGAAGGGCGUGCUAAUCUGCGAUAAGCGCCGGUAAGGUGAUAUGAACCGUUAUAACCGGCGAUACCCGAAUGGGGAAACCCAGUGUGAUUCGUCACACUAUCAUUAACUGAAUCCAUAGGUUAAUGAGGCGAACCGGGGGAACUGAAACAUCUAAGUACCCCGAGGAAAAGAAAUCAACCGAGAUUCCCCCAGUAGCGGCGAGCGAACGGGGAGGAGCCCAGAGCCUGAAUCAGCAUGUGUGUUAGUGGAAGCGUCUGGAAAGGCGCGCGAUACAGGGUGACAGCCCCGUACACAAAAGCGCAUGUGCUGUGAGCUCGAUGAGUAGGGCGGGACACGUGGUAUCCUGUCUGAAUAUGGGGGGACCAUCCUCCAAGGCUAAAUACUCCUGACUGACCGAUAGUGAACCAGUACCGUGAGGGAAAGGCGAAAAGAACCCCGGCGAGGGGAGUGAAAAAGAACCUGAAACCGUGUACGUACAAGCAGUGGGAGCACAGGUUUACCUGUGUGACUGCGUACCUUUUGUAUAAUGGGUCAGCGACUUAUAUUCUGUAGCAAGGUUAACCGAAUAGGGGAGCCGGAGGGAAACCGAGUCUUAAUUGGGCGUUAAGUUGCAGGGUAUAGACCCGAAACCCGGUGAUCUAGCCAUGGGCAGGUUGAAGGUUGGGUAACACUAACUGGAGGACCGAACCGACUAAUGUUGAAAAAUUAGCGGAUGACCUGUGGCUGGGGGUGAAAGGCCAAUCAAACCGGGAGAUAGCUGGUUCUCCCCGAAAGCUAUUUAGGUAGCGCCUCGUGAAUUCAUCUCCGGGGGUAGAGCACUGUUUCGGCUAGGGGGCCAUCCCGGCUUACCAACCCGAUGCAAACUGCGAAUACCGGAGAAUGUUAUCACGGGAGACACACGGCGGGUGCUAACGUCCGUCGUGAAGAGGGAAACAACCCAGACCGCCAGCUAAGGUCCCAAAGUCAUGGUUAAGUGGGAAACGAUGUGGGAAGGCCCAGACAGCCAGGAUGUUGGCUUAGAAGCAGCCAUCAUUUAAAGAAAGCGUAAUAGCUCACUGGUCGAGUCGGCCUGCGCGGAAGAUGUAACGGGGCUAAACCAUGCACCGAAGCUGCGGCAGCGACGCUGAUGCGUUGUUGGGUAGGGGAGCGUUCUGUAAGCCUGUGAAGGUGUGUCGUGAGGCAUGCUGGAGGUAUCAGAAGUGCGAAUGCUGACAUAAGUAACGAUAAAGCGGGUGAAAAGCCCGCUCGCCGGAAGACCAAGGGUUCCUGUCCAACGUUAAUCGGGGCAGGGUGAGUCGACCCCUAAGGCGAGGCCGAAAGGCGUAGUCGAUGGGAAACGGGUUAAUAUUCCCGUACUUGGUGUUACUGCGAAGGGGGGACGGAGAAGGCUAUGUUGGCCGGGCGACGGUUGUCCCGGUUUAAGCGUGUAGGUGUGUGUUCCAGGUAAAUCCGGUUCACUUUAACACUGAGGCGUGACGACGAGGCACUACGGUGCUGAAGCAACAAAUGCCCUGCUUCCAGGAAAAGCCUCUAAGCAUCAGGUAACACGAAAUCGUACCCCAAACCGACACAGGUGGUCAGGUAGAGAAUACCAAGGCGCUUGAGAGAACUCGGGUGAAGGAACUAGGCAAAAUGGUGCCGUAACUUCGGGAGAAGGCACGCUGACACGUAGGUGAAGUGAUUUACUCAUGGAGCUGAAGUCAGUCGAAGAUACCAGCUGGCUGCAACUGUUUAUUAAAAACACAGCACUGUGCAAACACGAAAGUGGACGUAUACGGUGUGACGCCUGCCCGGUGCCGGAAGGUUAAUUGAUGGGGUCAGCGCAAGCGAAGCUCCUGAUCGAAGCCCCGGUAAACGGCGGCCGUAACUAUAACGGUCCUAAGGUAGCGAAAUUCCUUGUCGGGUAAGUUCCGACCUGCACGAAUGGCGUAAUGAUGGCCAGGCUGUCUCCACCCGAGACUCAGUGAAAUUGAACUCGCUGUGAAGAUGCAGUGUACCCGCGGCAAGACGGAAAGACCCCGUGAACCUUUACUAUAGCUUGACACUGAACAUUGAGCCUUGAUGUGUAGGAUAGGUGGGAGGCUUUGAAGUGUGGACGCCAGUCUGCAUGGAGCCGACCUUGAAAUACCACCCUUUAAUGUUUGAUGUUCUAACGUGGACCCGUAAUCCGGGUUGCGGACAGUGUCUGGUGGGUAGUUUGACUGGGGCGGUCUCCUCCUAAAGAGUAACGGAGGAGCACGAAGGUUGGCUAAUCCUGGUCGGACAUCAGGAGGUUAGUGCAAUGGCAUAAGCCAGCUUGACUGCGAGCGUGACGGCGCGAGCAGGUGCGAAAGCAGGUCAUAGUGAUCCGGUGGUUCUGAAUGGAAGGGCCAUCGCUCAACGGAUAAAAGGUACUCCGGGGAUAACAGGCUGAUACCGCCCAAGAGUUCAUAUCGACGGCGGUGUUUGGCACCUCGAUGUCGGCUCAUCACAUCCUGGGGCUGAAGUAGGUCCCAAGGGUAUGGCUGUUCGCCAUUUAAAGUGGUACGCGAGCUGGGUUUAGAACGUCGUGAGACAGUUCGGUCCCUAUCUGCCGUGGGCGCUGGAGAACUGAGGGGGGCUGCUCCUAGUACGAGAGGACCGGAGUGGACGCAUCACUGGUGUUCGGGUUGUCAUGCCAAUGGCACUGCCCGGUAGCUAAAUGCGGAAGAGAUAAGUGCUGAAAGCAUCUAAGCACGAAACUUGCCCCGAGAUGAGUUCUCCCUGAGACUUAGAGUCUCCUGAAGGAACGUUGAAGACGACGACGUUGAUAGGCCGGGUGUGUAAGCGCAGCGAUGCGUUGAGCUAACCGGUACUAAUGAACCGUGAGGCUUAACCUU
RNAcentral lists this ribosomal RNA (2908 nucleotides) under Salmonella enterica. RNAcentral's name for it is "23S ribosomal RNA". It matches the Rfam family "Bacterial large subunit ribosomal RNA". Lineage: Bacteria; Pseudomonadati; Pseudomonadota; Gammaproteobacteria; Enterobacterales; Enterobacteriaceae. RNAcentral also lists the same sequence under 1 other name. The record is from RNAcentral.